RNAcentral lists this ribosomal RNA (557 nucleotides) under Veronaea sp. RNAcentral's name for it is "LSU rRNA". It matches the Rfam family "Eukaryotic large subunit ribosomal RNA", at positions 77 to 647 of the family's 3401-position model. Lineage: Eukaryota; Fungi; Ascomycota; Eurotiomycetes; Chaetothyriales; Herpotrichiellaceae. The record is from RNAcentral.
GCCUCAGUACGGCGAGUGAAGCGGCAACAGCUCAAAUUUGAAAUCUGGCCUCUUUGGGGUCCGAGUUGUAAUUUGUAGAGGAUGUUUUGGGUACCGCCCCGGUCUAAAUUUCUUGGAACAGAAUGUCAAAGAGGGUGAGAAUCCCGUCUUGGACCGGCGGUAGGGCCCGUGUAAAACUCCUUCGACGAGUCGAGUUGUUUGGGAAUGCAGCUCAAAAUGGGUGGUAAAUUUCAUCUAAAGCUAAAUAUUGGCCAGAGACCGAUAGCGCACAAGUAGAGUGAUCGAAAGAUGAAAAGCACUUUGAAAAGAGAGUUAAACAGUAUGUGAAAUUGUUGAAAGGGAAGCGCUUACAACCAGACUUGAGCGCGGCGGUUCCCCCUUCCUUUUGGUUGGGUUACUCCGUCGUGUCCAGGCCAACAUCGGUUCUGGGGGUCGGUUAAAGGCCCGGGGAAUGUAUCUACCCUUUUGGCGUAGACUUAUAGCCCCGGGUGUCAUGCGACCUCCCGGGACCGAGGAACGCGCUUCGGCUCGGAUGUUGGCGUAAUGGUUGUCAGCGA